This 497-nucleotide ribosomal RNA is filed under the name uncultured bacterium. Its description in RNAcentral is "partial 16S ribosomal RNA". It matches the Rfam family "Bacterial small subunit ribosomal RNA", at positions 28 to 507 of the family's 1533-position model. The record is from RNAcentral.
GAUGAACGCUGGCGGCGUGCCUAAUACAUGCAAGUCGAGCGAACAGACGAGGAGCUUGCUCCUCUGACGUUAGCGGCGGACGGGUGAGUAACACGUGGAUAACCUACCUAUAAGACUGGGAUAACUUCGGGAAACCGGAGCUAAUACCGGAUAAUAUAUUGAACCGCAUGGUUCAAUAGUGAAAGACGGUUUUGCUGUCACUUAUAGAUGGAUCCGCGCCGCAUUAGCUAGUUGGUAAGGUAACGGCUUACCAAGGCAACGAUGCGUAGCCGACCUGAGAGGGCGACCGGACAAACUGGAACUGAGAGACGGGCCGGACUACUACGGGAAGCAGCAGUAGGGAAUCAUCCACAAGGGGCGAAAACGUGACGAAGCAACGCCGCGUGAGUGAUGAAGGUCUGCGGAUCGUAAAACUCUGUUAUUAGGGAAGAACAAAUGUGUAAGGAACAAUGCACGUCUUGACGGUACCUAAUCAGAAAGCCAGGGCUAAGUACGUG